RNAcentral lists this long non-coding RNA (5479 nucleotides) under Manihot esculenta (cassava). Its description in RNAcentral is "long non-coding RNA (MESC_LNC011719)". The record is from RNAcentral. Lineage: Eukaryota; Viridiplantae; Streptophyta; Magnoliopsida; Malpighiales; Euphorbiaceae.
AAGAGAGAAAGAAAGACCGUUUGUAUUGAUCGGUUGAAUAACUUCUCAUAUGCAAAUAAAAAUCAAGGAAGAUGAUGACUCCCUUUUAGACUGCUCUUACCAUACAAAAUAAAGAAAAGAAAAAAAUGGCUGUAACCAGCCCCAAGAGUAAGGCACUCUCCUCUGCAAAAGGAAGACCUUCUGCCCUCUCUAGAAUAGAGAAAAAAAGUACUGAGAAAAGAUGCCUGAUUCUCUGCCCAAUUCCUCCUUAAAAGCUGGAGGGAAAUCUGCCCUUGUAACUAAUUCCUGCCACUUGUCCUUACCCAUUAUUCCCAAAAUCUGCCAGCUGUAUGACUAUCAAUUGUGUGCGCUCUGUUUCUUCUUUCUCCUGAAAUAUACCUUAAAAUUUCUUGUUUUUAAGCCCUCAACCUUAUCAUUACUUCCCUGUUGAGGAUCAAUCUUGUCCUCAAGACUGAAGUAAGGAAAUUGUCCCCGGAAAUCUGAUAAAUUCAUCCAUGUAGCGUCUUCAAUUCCCUUCCCCUUCCAUUUCACCAAAACUUGUUCUACUGUUUGAUUUUCCAAUUGAUCCUGCUUGUGUUGUAAAAUAGUUUCGGGUUCCACCAAGAGUUCUUCAUUCUCCUCCAGAUGGUCAGGGAUAGCUGCAAUCACGGGAUAGUUACCUACUACUCGUUUAAGUUGAGAAACAUGGAAUACUGGAUGUAUACGUGAUUCUUUUGGCAGCUUAAGCUUGUAAGCUACAGAUCCUACCCUGGCAAGAAUGGUGAAAGGUCCAAAAUAUCUGGCUGAUAACUUUGCAGAUGCCCUUUUUGCUACUGAUUGUUGCCUAAGUGGUCGCAAUUUGAGAAAAACCGCAUCUCCAACUUCAAAUUUUAAGUCCCUACGAUGCUUGUUGGCACUUUUACUCAUAAUCUGCUGAGCUCGACAUAGGUUAUACUUUAAUAGCCUUAUCAUUUCAUCCCUGUCUGCAAGUUGCUGUGCUACCUCUUCUACUUUGGUUUCUCCUGGUAAGAACUGCUGAAUAACAGGAGGUAAUCUUCCAUAAACAAUCUCAAAAGGAGUCUUUCCCGCAGAAGAUUGAAAAUUGGUAUUGUACCAAUAUUCUGCCCAACACAACCAUUUGGACCACCCUCUCGGCUGUUCCGAGGAAAAACACCGCAAAUAAGUCUCAAGGCACCUGUUUAUGACUUCUGUCUGGCCAUCCGUUUGUGGAUGGUAUGCUGUACUAAAUUUGAGUUGUGUUCCUUGCAGCCUGAACAUUUCCCCCCAAAAAUUACUCAAAAAUAGUGGAUCCCUGUCACUCACAAUGGUUCUUGGUAACCCAUGUAGUCUUACUACUUCCUUUGCAAAUCUUUCAGCUACUGUCUUAGCAGUGUAAGGAUGACUAAGUGGUAUAAAAUGGCUGAAUUUAGAUAAGCGAUCAACAACCACAAAAAUGCAAUCAAACCCAUUAGAGCGUGGCAAACCUGUUAUGAAGUCGAUGGAGAUGUCUUCCCAUAUUCUAUUCGGUAUUGGAAGAGGUUGCAGAAGUCCAGCCGGGUGUUGUGUAUCGUAUUUAUGAGUUUGACAGACAAGGCAGGCUGCCACAUAUUUCUUGACAUCCCCCAUCAUGCCCUUCCAAUAAAAAUUUGAAGCCAGUCGUCGGUAUGUCCUAUAGGCACCUGAGUGUCCUCCUUGACUAGUAGAAUGAAAUUCGGUGAUUAACUUCGAUACCCAUUCUGAAUUAGCUGGUAUCACUAGCCUUCCUUGAUAAUAUAGUCGGUCAUGUAUCAAAGAGUAAUGAGCAUGCCGGAAAGGGUCUGUUUGUAGAUCUUCGAUGAUCUUUCUCAGUUGUUUAUCAGCCCAUACCUCCUUACUAAUCUGUUCCCAAUCAGCCCAAAAAGGCAAUGAUAUUGCUAGAAUUUGCACCUCUUCCUCUUGUCUUGAUAGGGCAUCAGCAGCUUUGUUUGAUUUCCCAGAUCGAUACUCCACCACAAAACUGUAUCCCAUUAGCUUUGACAACCAAUAUUGUUGCGCAGGAGUGGUAGCUUGUUGCAUUAGUAUGUGCUUAAGACUUCGCUGGUCAGUCUUAACUGUAAACUUUUGCCCCAUCAAGUAAGGUCUCCAAUGCUGGAUAGCCAUAACUAAGGCCAUAAGUUCUCUGUCAUAUGCUGAGUGAGCUAAUGACUUUCCUGAUACUGCCUUGCUGAAAUAAGCGAUCGGUCUAUUUUGUUGUGUUAAGACAGCUCCCACUCCUUUUCCUGAGGCAUCACAUUCUACUACAAACGGAACAGAGAAAUUGGGCAUACCUAGGACUGGAGAGGAAAUUAUGGCUUUCUUGAGUGAGUCGAAUGCUAGCUGUGCCUGAUCACUCCACUUGAACACUCCACUGUUUUCUUUCUUUAACAACUCGGUCAGCGGCUGUGCCAUUUGCCCAUACCCUUUUAUGAACCUUCGGUAGUAUCCGGUGAUCCCCAAGAAUCCCCGCACCCCUUUAACAGAUCUUGGAAUCGGCCAACGAACAAUGGCAGAAACUUUUCUGGGGUCCAUUUCCACCCCUUUCUCUGAAAUCAUGUGCCCUAGGUAUUCUACUGAUAAUUUGCCAAAAGAACACUUUUUCCUGUUCACGUACAGUUGCUGAUCUUGCAAGGUGGAGAAAACCUUUUGAAGGUGGACUAGAUGAGACUCCCAAGUGCUACUGUAUACUAGAAUGUCAUAAAAAAAGACGAGUACAGACUUCCUCAAUUGCGGUCGAAAAAUGUCAUUCAUCACUGCUUGAAAAGUGGCUGGUGCGUUCAUCAAUCCGAAUGGCAUCACUAGAAAUUCGUAGUGUCCAGAAUGAGUGCGAAACGCUGUCUUGUGUAUAUCUGGAACAACAACCCUUAUUUGAUGGUAGCCAGAUCUUAGAUCCAAUUUAGAGAAAUAUCUCGCCCCGUGUAGCUCAUCUAGCAACUCCUGAAUAACUGGAAUAGGAUACUUGUUAGGCACAGUAGAUUUAUUCAGUUGACGGUAGUCUACACAGAAUCGCCAACUUCCAUCCUUUUUCUUCACCAACAAGACAGGACUCGAGAAAGGGCUAGUGCUAGGCUGAAUGAUGCCAGCUGAGAGCAUUUCUUUCACCAAUCUCUCUAUUUCAUCCUUCUGUGUAUGUCCAUAUCGGUACGGCUUUACUGAGACCGGCCCUGUUCCAGGUUGAAGCGGAAUACGAUGAUCUGCAGUUCUCUGAGGAGGAAGACCUUGGAGUUCUUCGAAAAUCUUCUUAUUCUUGUCCAACAAUUUCUGCAGCUCCAUCCGUUGUUUUUCCGACAGGAUAACUUCUUCUGCAUCUGUCAAUGGCAGAGUACUUAAUGGCCACAAAACCGCUGCAUAAUCCACAUCUAUUGUUUUUCGAAUAGCCCGUAAUGACACUCGGGUCCUAUUCAGAGAGGUAUCACCCGAUAAGCAGACUUCCUUAUUGCCGGCUUGGAACUUCAGAUACAUUUUCUUCCAGUUAGCUUGAAUGUCCCCCAAAGAUUCCAACCAGACAACCCCCAAAAUCAAAUCGACUCCCCCCAAAGGAAAUUGGUAGAAAUCAGAGACAACUGUAUAAUCAAAAAGACUUAGAUUCAAUUUCUUACAAACUCCUGUGGAAGGUACCUUGCACCCAUCGCCCAGCUUGACAUCAAAUUUGGGUGUACCGGCAGUUUCCAAUUUGAGUCGUUGAACCAGCUCCAAUGACACAAAAUUAUGGCUUGCUCCGCUGUCUACCAAUACUACAACCGGAGUCCCGGCUAUCCGGCCACGAAAUUUCAUGGUUUUUGGGUGUUGUAUGCCUCCUACAGAGAACAUCGGCAACUCCAUCCUGGAAAAUGAGCUUCAUUUAUAUCGACUCCCAAACCAUCAGUCUCCGUGAUUUCCAUUUCAGCGAAAUCCCCUUCCUCUACCUCCUCAUCUCCGGCAAUUAUGGCCCGCAAGGAUUUGCUUGGGCACUCAUGCAACAGCGAGUACGGUAACUUACAUUUGAAACACAAUCCUUUUGAGCGCAUCUCCUGGUAUUCUUGAUGAGAAUACUGUCGUGUACCCCGUAUCUUGGUCUGGCCAGGACCUCCAGGUAGUGGUUUAGGGUUUUUAUCCCCUUGGGUCAUCGGUUUAUUGAUUGCUGGAUCUGGAGGUUUAGAAAAAGGCCCAUCCCACUUACGAAAAUGGGUUGUUGCGUGGUUGUAUUUUUGGGUUUGGGUUCCCAGCGUUCUUUGGCCCAAACCGUGACUCACUCCUUUCUGCUUUUGAGUGUUACCGUCCCACGUCAUUCCCUUCUUCUUGCUCGAAGAGUUCCUCUGUCGUUCAAUCUCCCGAGCGAGUUUCAUAGUUUUAUAGAGGUCAGUAGUUUCAUGAGACCUCAAUCGUAACCUAAUAUCCUCCCUUAGUCCAUUUAAAAAAAACCCCAAGCAUUGGCGAUCGGAGACGUCGGGUACCAGCGACGCGCGAGCAACAAAUUCAUCCACAUAUUCUGCCACAGUGCCCAGCUGUUUCAAAGCAACAAGAUGCUCAUAUGGAUUUUCUAAAAUAUCAUCACUGUACCUCUCUCGCAACUCCUCACGCAGCUGGUUCCAUGUGAGUUGUGGGUUUCUUUGACGCAACCACCGCAACCAGUGCAACGGCGCACCUUCCAUACUCACCAGUGCCAAAGAGACUUUGGUUUCUUCUGGGAUGCUCUGAAUCUCAAAAAAUUGUUCUGUCCUUGCCACCCAGCCCACCGGGUCUGUUUCGUCAAAAUCUGGCAUUUCCACCUUCUUGGCCACCGUUGUCGUGUUUCCUAGCAGGAGCGGUAUAUUUGUUUCCCUCGUCACCGAGUUCUCCAUUAUCGAUUGCACCAGUGGAGAUGGACUCGAAGAAUCCCCAGUCUCGGCAGUACCUUUUCCUUUAACCAUCGUAGCUAUUAACACUUCCAGCUUAUUGAACCUCUGUUCUUGCUCUGCUCUCAUCCGCUCCUGUCCCAAUCUAAUGGCAGCCACUAUUUCUUCCAAAUCCAUCACACUCUUCUCUACCUGUUCCAUUCUAGAAUCCAUCCUUGUUUUUGUCAUAAGAGGAUCCGGCAGGUCGGAACAAUUUGAUAGAGUAAAGAGUGAGAGUUUUAUCAAGAAGACACAAGAGAGAAAGAAAGACCGUUUGAAUUGAUCGGUUGAAUAACUUCUCAUAUGCAAAUAAAAAUCAAGGAAGAUGAUGACUCCCUUUUAGACUGCUCUUACCAUACAAAAUAAAGAAAAGAAAAAAAUGGCUGUAACCAGCCCCAAGAGUAAGGCACUCUCCUCUGCAAAAGGAAGACCUUCUGCCCUCUCUAGAAUAGAGAAAAAAAGUACUGAGAAAAGAUGCCUGAUUCUCUGCCCAAUUCCUCCUUAAAAGCUGGAGGGAAAUUUGCCCUUGUAACUAAUUCCUGCCACUUGUCCUUACCCAUUAUUCCCAAAAUCUGCCAGCUGUAUGACUAUCAAUUGUGUGCGCUCUGUUUCUUCUUUCUCCUGAAAUAUAC